GUGUUUGCUUCAGCAGCACAUAUACUAAAAUUUGAAUGAUACAGAGAUUAGCAUGGCCCCUGCACAAGGAUGAUGUGCAAAUUAUUAAAAUGUUUCAUAUCUUU
Zalophus californianus (California sea lion) is the source of this 104-nucleotide small nuclear RNA. NCBI's taxonomy places the organism in Eukaryota, Metazoa, Chordata, Mammalia, Carnivora, Otariidae. The record is from Ensembl.